CCUACGGGAGGCAGCAGUGAGGAAUAUUAGUCAAUGGACGAGAGUCUGAACCAGCCAAGUAGCGUGAAGGAUGACUGCCCUAUGGGUUGUAAACUUCUUUUAUAUGGGAAUAAAAUGUUCCACGUGUGGGAUUUUGUAUGUACCAUAUGAAUAAGGAUCGGCUAACUCCGUGCCAGCAGCCGCGGUAAUACGGAGGGUCCGAGCGUUAUCCGGAUUUAUUGGGUUUAAAGGGAGCGUAGGUGGAUUGUUAAGUCAGUUGUGAAAGUUUGCGGCUCAACCGUAAAAUUGCAGUUGAAACUGGCAGUCUUGAGUACAGUAGAGGUGGGCGGAAUUCGUGGUGUAGCGGUGAAAUGCUUAGAGAUCACGAAGAACUCCGAUUGCGAAGGCAGUUCACUGGACUGCAACUGACACUGAGGCUCGAAAGUGUGGGUAUCAAACAGGAUUAGAUACCCCAGUAGUC
This 460-nucleotide ribosomal RNA is filed under the name uncultured bacterium. RNAcentral's name for it is "partial 16S ribosomal RNA". It matches the Rfam family "Bacterial small subunit ribosomal RNA", at positions 338 to 795 of the family's 1533-position model. The record is from RNAcentral.